Molecule: ribosomal RNA, 376 nt
Filed under: uncultured bacterium
Lineage: Bacteria
Description: bacterial SSU rRNA
Rfam family: Bacterial small subunit ribosomal RNA
Source: RNAcentral
AUACGUAGGUGGCGAGCGUUGUCCGGAAUUACUGGGUGUAAAGGGCGUGUAGGCGGGUAUGCAAGUCAGAUGUGAAAUACCGCAGCUCAACUGAGGUGUUGCAUCUGAAACUGCAUAUCUUGAGUACUGGAGAGGGAAGCGGAAUUCCUAGUGUAGCGGUGAAAUGCGUAGAGAUUAGGAGGAACACCAGUGGCGAAGGCGGCUUCCUGGCCAGAGACUGACGCUGAGGCGCGAAAGCGUGGGGAGCAAACAGGAUUAGAUACCCUGGUAGUCCACGCUGUAAACGAUGGAUACUAGGUGUAGAUGGUAAGAAACUAUCUGUGCCGGAGUUAACACAAUAAGUAUCCCACCUGGGGAGUACGGCCGCAAGGUUGAA